This 6664-nucleotide long non-coding RNA is filed under the name Eucalyptus grandis. RNAcentral describes it as "long non-coding RNA (EGRA_LNC000440)". The record is from RNAcentral. Lineage: Eukaryota; Viridiplantae; Streptophyta; Magnoliopsida; Myrtales; Myrtaceae.
ACGGGGAAAUCCGAUAACAUUAAAACUCCCACUUGUUCAUCAAUGCAAAGUCGCUCAAAUCCAACCGUUGAUCUCAGCAAAUUAAAGAGUCGAAAGUAAUAUCAAAAUAUCGUGGCUGAGCGAGCUUUUAAGCAAGAGCUACAUAUAUCAUGUACAUACGAUCGGACUCAUUGAAGCGAUAAGUGCACAAACUAGAAGAGAAACAAAGAAAAAUUGUAUCAUAAAGCCACGCCAUAUUACAUCUGCUUGUCGAUCUCCCAAAUGACCCUUCCAUCCUCUGCAAUGUCAACGGAAAAUAUGUGUCAUUUCAUGAGACGUGUGUAUGGUAGAGGGAAAGAUCAACUCGCUAGACAGACAAUAAGUAUGAACAUAGGAUCACAGGUUAUAUAUCCUAGACUACUUCGAGCAAGUGAAAGCAAAACAUAUUCCAAAGAAUGAGCCAUAUACAUUAGCACCAAAGCAAAUUCAUGUCAUUCUUCAUCAAAACUAAGCAGUGUCCUGUAACAUUCCACGAAAAUUGCACCACGAAGCCUUGACAUGGAGUCCAAAAACUUUACCAUACCUAUUUGCAUUUCUUACAUGAAUUUGGGUCUUGCAGUGUAACUUUCCAUGAUUUUUCUUACCAGAGUACAGUGAAAAUGUCAGGCUUGCAUUAUAGGGUGCCACUGAGGAUCAUCCAGUCACUGCCGUCCUCACUGUUGUUUGGAGCCAUAAAGGUGACAUCCAUUAAGAAGUACAUGUCGAACACGAGCACCCACAGCCACGGAUCCAAGUGUAACCUCCGCUUGGCUUUCGCCACCACAUUGAUGGUGACUGCCCUGCCCUUCAACGAGCGUACCAAGCCCUUAAUGCCCAAGUCAUUAACAAGCGGCAGCAUCGAUAGGGCCUCUACUUGGACAAUGGUGAUGUUGUGGGGGCCCUAAGCGAAGGAUGGAAUGUGCAAGGGACGAGAGAGAGCGAGUUCACCUCCGAAUCUCAAGAGCAGCUUCAUGCGGGUGUACUUAACAGCGAUGAGCUUACUGGGAUUCUUGACGGAGAGACCGAUGUUCCAUUGGGUGGCAACAUGGGUGGCGAAGAUGUUGAGCGACGAAAGGGAAGAGCCCAAGUCGAGCUAGAACUCUGGGGGCAUUAGGGUAGGUAUGGCUAAGAAGAUGACCAUGAGGAGGCCGAGAACAAUGGGUAUGGCAAAUGUUAUACAGUGGCUGAUAAUCAACUUGUACCUGCCGAGCAGGGGUAUGGGUGGAGGUGGCACCUAUGAAGGUGACGGUGGCUUGUUAUUCGCGACAGGUGGAAUGGCUCAGAGGGUUGUCAUUUGGAAAUUGUGUUGGGUGCUCUUAUUGUUCUAUAAGGAUUUCUGUGUGAAGUUUUGUGCCCACACAGAAAAUUUUAAGGGGGUGGAAACUGGAAAGGUAUUGCUAAUAUUUAAAGAUCAUAAAAAAUGAAUGCAUAGAUCCUCUCUCUAACGUUGACUCCCUUUCCUCUAAGCAUUAGACCAUUUCCUCUCUCUCUUCCCAUUAGAUUGGGGCAAUCAUUUUCAAAAUCUGUCACCCAAUCAUUUCUUUUUUCAAAACAAGUCAUCUCCUUUAUGGCCCCAUUCCAACGUUAGGGAUAGUGAAUCAAGGAUUUCAAGUCCGUCCGUUCUAGACUUCUGGCCCAUCAGAGACAACAAAUCAGGAUGUCACACCUACAAAAUCGAGUGCGUGUUUUGGCUUUACAUGAGGGUCUUGUGAGAAAGGCAGCAAUUUUCUAUUCUCUUUUCUCUUCUCUUUGCUUGUUGUCAAAAAAGAAGACAGCAAUUUCAAAAAGGGGCCAUUGGCACUGUCCCUGGAGUGCUGGAAGUUGGAGUUAGAAAAUGUAACAAGAGGCUUCGCAAGAUUCUAUCGAGAAAUUACGCGGCGCGUGAAAGCUAAAACUUGGGGAAUCUUGCGAAGCCCCGCGUUACAUUUUCUAACCCCAACUUCCAGCACUCUGGGGAUAGCGCCAAUGACCCCUUUUUGAAAUUGUUGUCUUCUUUUUCGACAAGCAGCAAAGAGAAGGGAAAAGAGAAUAGAAAAUUGCUGCCUUUCUCACAAGAUCCUCAUGUAAAGCCAAAACACGCACUCAAUUUUGCAGGUCUGACAUCCCAAUUUGCUGUCUUUGAUGGGCCAAAAGUCUAGAAUGGACGGACUUGAAAUCCUUGAUUUCCUAUCCCUAAUGUCAGAAUGGGGCCAUAAAGGAGAUGACUUGUUUUGAAAAGAAAAAUGAUUGGGUGACAGAUUUUGAAAAUGAUUGCCCCGAUCUAAUAGGAAGAGAGAGGAAAUUGUCUAAUGCUUAGAGGAAAGGGAGUCAACGUUAGAGAGAGGAUCUAUGCAUUCAUUUUUAUGGUCUUUAAAUAUUAGCAAUACCUUUCCAGUUCCACGCCCCCUUAAAAUUUGCUACGUGAGCACAAAACUUCACACAGAAAUGCUUACACAACAAUAAGAGCACUCAGCACAAAAUUUCCAAAUGACAACCCUCCAAGCCAUUCCACCCACCGCGAAUAAUAAGCCAGCGUCACCUUCACAAGUGCCACCCCCACCCAUACCCCUGCCCGACAAGUACAAGCUGAUUAUCGGCCACUGUAUAACAUUUGCCAUACCCACUGUUCUCAGCCUCCUCAUGGUCAUCUUCCUAGCCAUACCUACCCUAAUGCCCUCGGAGUUCUGGCUCAACUCAGCUCUUCCCUUUCGUCGCUCAACAUCUUCGCCACCCACAUCACCGCCCAAUGGAACAUCAGUCUCUCCGUCAAGAAUCCCGGUAAGCUCAUCAUUGUCAAGUACACCCGCAUGAAGCUCCUCUUGAGCUUCAGAGGCAAACUCGCUCUCUCUCGUCCCUUGCACAUUCCAACCUUCACUCAAGGCCCCCACAACAUCACCAUUGUCCGAGCAAAGGCCCUGCCGAUGCUGCCGCUCAUUAAUGACUUGGGCAUUAAGGGCCCGGUGCGCUCGUUGAAGGGCAAGGCAGUGAUCAUCAACGUGGUGGCGAAAGCCAAGCGGAGGCUGCACUUGGGUCCGUGGCUAUCGGUGCCCGUGUUCGACAUGUACUUCUUAAUGGAUGUCACUCUUAUGGCUCCAAACAACAGUGAGGACGGCAGUGACAUCGGUGGCACCCUACAAUGCAAGCCCGACAUCUUCACUGUACUCUAGUAAGAAAAAUCAUGGAAAGAUUACACUGACCCAAAUUCAUGUAAGAAAUGCAAAAAGGUCUAGUAAAGUUUUUGGACUCCAUGUCAAGGCCUCGUGGUGUAAUUUUCGUGGAAAGUUACAGGACACUAUUUAGUUUUGAUGAAGAAUGACAUGGAUUUGCUUUGGUGCUGAUGUAUAUGGCUCAUUCUUUGGGAAUAUGUAUUGCUUUCACGUGCUCGAAGUAGUCUAGGAUAUAUAACCUGUGAUCCUAUGUAUCAUACUUUGUCUGUCUAGCGAGCUGAUCUUUCCCUCUGCCAUAUACACGUCUCAUGAAAUGGCACAUUUUCCAUUGACAUUGCAGAGGAUGGAAGGGUCAUUUGGGAGAUCAACAGGUAGAUGCAAUAUGGCGUGGCUUUUUGAUAUUACUUUCGACUCUUUAAUUUGGCUGAGAUCAACGGCUGGAUUUGAGCGACUUUGCAUCGAUGAACAAGUGGGAGUUUUAAUGUUAUCAGAUUUCCCCAUGCACGAUGAUUCAUCUGUGUCAUGACCUAACCCCUCUCACGGGAGAGGGAGCUUAUUAGGUUUAGGGAUAUUGUCAACUUCGGCCCAACGGCCUUCCAUUGGCUUGGACUUUUCCAAGUCCAUACCUCAUGCAACAUGCUUUCAAAUUUUUAAUCAUUUAAGUUUAUGUAAAUUUUAAGUAAAGAGUCGCCACUAGCUUUUUUGACUAGAAACCCAGUAAGAUACGGAAAGGUAUCCCACUAGUUACGCAACCAGAGAUUUUAAACUCGGGAAUUGAUUACGUUAGCCCUGAGGCUAACGUCCUUUCGGUACCUAACCUAAUCAUGUACGCUAGCAUCCUAAAUUGUCUCUAAAAAAGAAAAUAAGACAAAGCAAAACAAGAAUCCAUUUUGUAAAGCCCUAAAGACUUAUCUAAUUUUAGGUUUUAGUUCUUUAAAGGGUUUUCUAAUAUAUAUAUAUAUAUAUAACCGGACAGGAUUUACCUGAUUCCCGGUCCGGCCCACCUGGAAAACAGGGUCGGGAACCGGUUCUGGUUGAAACCGGUCCAGGAAUCGGUUCCCAAACCUGAGACCCUAUUUGAACCGGUCUGGGAACCGAUUCCGAGGGUUUACCCACUCGGGAACCAAAUCGACCAGACCAGUUUGGGAACCGAUUGGAGGAUCGGUUUGUAAGCCCCCCAAAAAGACCAAAACCCUAAUUUCUACUUUCUAUCUUUACCGGCUUCCUCUCCUCCCGCGACACCCGCAGACGGCAGCUUGCAACCUCCGCCCGUCCGGCGUCCGCCGAUCCUGGUUCUGCUCGCCCACCAUCGCCCCCCGAAAUUGUGACACCGCGUUUGUCAACCCGGUUCCUAGCUGCUUGCCAACCUUGCUCCGAGCUCCCCUCCCGAAAUCGCGAAGCCAAUGCUGCCUCUGCCACUCUUGUCGCACCCCUCGCGGUCGCACCACCGCCGCCGUUCCGCCGGUCAUCUAAAGGUGAGUUGCUCUGGGUGUUUACAUAUGAGUGUUGUAUAGUAAUUAUUUUGCAAAACAGAUUCCAAUAUAAACAGGGUUAACCCUGUUCCCGGACCAGAAAAACAGUGUGGGUUGAGAACAGGGUCCAAUGCAAACAGAGUCAAGUACAGGGUCCAAAAAAAUAGAACCGGUUAUAACAGGGUCAGGUACAAAGUCCAGGUCUAGACCCUACCCAUCUUGGACCCAAUCACCCCUAAUAUAUAUAACAAAUUUUCCGAUUUUUUUACUUUUUUAUGCUCCAAAUUUUUUAAAUAUUUUUCCAAUUUUUUUAAUUGUUAAUGACUUUUCCAGAUUUUUUAAAUUCUUAAUGAUUUUCUAAAAUUCCAUUUAUUAUUAUUAUUAUUAUUAUUAUUAUUAUUAUUAUUAUUAUUAUUAUUAUUAUUAUUAUUAUUAUUAUUAUUUGAAUUUGCUAUUUUUUUUUGUUAUUUCCUCAAGUUUUAGAAUUUUUUUAUCAUCUUCCGAAUUUUUAUUUUUUUAAUAUCUUUUCGAUCCAAAUCCGUUAUAAGGAAAAGAAAAUUUUCAAUUUUUAGUUUUUUUAAUGAUUUUUCUAUCUUUUCUUCAUUUUUCUCUUUUGUCUUCUUCUUUGUUUUGUCUUUUCCCCCCGCACCAUCUUCUUCCUCCAGCUGUCUUCUUCCCGAAGCUUUCCUCACCCCUUCAACUUCAUCUUCAUUCAGCCAUUUAACCCAAACCAUAAACUCAAGGCAAUACCAUCUUCCACCUUAUUUUUUUUAUUUUCACCGAUAUGUAAAUCGCUGCCGAGCCACCACCAAUCAGUGAUCACUUGUUUUGACCGACGGCCACCAACUCUAGCCACUCCCGACGACCACAACCAUGAAAAAAAAAAAAAAUUAUCCAAAACUAAUGUCCCUUCCAUCCUAGCCUUUGUAACAAACAAACAAUCCCCGAUACACUACAAAGCGAAAAGAUAAACUGACUGGGAUGGCUUGAACCAUAAACUUUGCCGGCGAAAGGGGAGGUCUCCGACGAACAACCUUCAGGUAUGGGAAUAUGCAUACACGUUGAACUUGAACCCGGAUUUUCACUAAAUCGCAUGAGAACACAACAAAAACACAAAUGUCGACAGGAUCCAACUGAUGCAGAACACAAAUGUCAACAGGAUCCAACCGAUGUAGAAGCAAACACAAAUCGAUAUUAAAGUUCAAUGAAAAACGAGGUUCAGCCUUCUUUCAAGCAUAUUAUCAAGCACGUGCAAGUUCCCAUUCCGAUUCGGUUUUAGCAUCGUUCUCAGCAACCAGUGCAGGCUCCGAACACCAUCAUUAGCGACCAAAUAGCCUCGUUUCCUCAAGAUCUCCCCAAAAGCAGCAAUUGAUUCAUGGAAAUUUUUUUGGCCUUUUUUAGACAUUUUAGCAAACUUAUAACGUACACUUUAGUAGGCAAACUACAGAUAUGUGUUCAUGGCCGAAUGAUGUUCAAUCUCAACGUAUAGAAGCAUGAAUCAGCAUUCUCGGUCAUAGAUCGAUUUCAUUUCUAUAGAGGGUAUCCACGACCUCGAAGAACAAACCUCGGAUUUCAGUUAGUAAAAAUUUAAAAAAUUAAAAAAAAAAAAAUAAACGGCAUUAAGGAGUUAGCUCUUGCCUGUUUCAGAGAUGGAACCGUUGCAGCUGCCGUACAAACGCCCAAUGACCUUCUUUCUCAUCUGAGGAUCGAACCUGCGGCCUCCACCUAGCCGUGGACAGCAAAGGAGUUCGGCAGCCGUGCGCCGACUUCUCUGGCGAUCUUCCUUCCUCAGCCUCUCAAGACCUCUUUCUCCUUCUAGCUAGGAAGUCUGGUCUUUUAUUGAAAAAAUUCUUAGAAAGAACUCUCCUCUCGCUCGCGUGCGAGAGGGAAAGAGAAGAGCCGAAGGCUCGGCCUUCGUUGCUCUCUUCUCGAGCCUUCGGCUCUCUUCUUGGGGAGCCUUCGUUGAAGCGUCUCGCUCGCGUGCGAGAGGGAAAGAGGAGAGCAACGAAGGCUUCUCGAGCCUUCGGC